This is a long non-coding RNA of Lathyrus oleraceus (garden pea), 1160 nucleotides long. RefSeq lists it as uncharacterized. The record is from RefSeq and is a predicted model, not a curated record. The transcript has 3 exons. NCBI's taxonomy places the organism in Eukaryota, Viridiplantae, Streptophyta, Magnoliopsida, Fabales, Fabaceae.
CGACGAGAAGCGGAUCGAGAGCUUUCGGAUCUACUUCUCCUGUUCUUCUUCUACUUCAAUCUUCCUCGCCGUUCUCUGGUGCUUUGAAUCGCGGCGUUCACGUAUCUUGAAUCGAAGGCGCGGUUCGAUCGUUGGAUUCGAGAGGAUUCACUGAAGCAAGGGACACCCUGGAUUGGGGAUGGAAUCAAAGUCCAGCAAGAACAGCCAAUGAAUUCGCCGGCAAAGAUGACCGAUGCAACGACGAGGUUAGCGGAAGCUCGUCUCAGAGACUGAGGCAGAGUGGAUUCUAGCUCCACCGAUCAAAGCUUCAACGUGGAGCUUUGAUGGCUUUGUCUCAGAGCUUUGGUAAGGGUGGAAUGGUGGUGAAGAUGCGGAAUAGAAGAUGGAAACUGGAAGAAGCAGGUUGAGAGUGAUGAUUGAAGAGGAGUUCUUGGAGGAGGUUGUGGGGUUUUCUGUUAGAGGUUGGUUAGAGGUUUGCUUAGGUUGGAAGAAUGCAGGUUUGGUUAGGGUGAAGAAACUUUGGUUGAAUGGUGAUGGAGGUGGUAGAAGAAACUGGUGAAUUGUUGAAUUAUGGGAAAGAUGAUGGAAGAAACUUGGAUUGAAGAUGGAGGAUGGUUCUUAUAGGAGAGUAAGGUUAGAGAGAUGGUUGGUUAUGUCCUAGAAUCGUUCAAUUGAGGCACUUUAGGGAAUUGGUUAGAAUUUAGGGAAUUGGUUAGAGUCAGUUAUGACAAUUGGGAGGUUAGGAGUCAAUGACCAUUGGCAACAGCUGGAAUUGAUUAGGCGGUUAUGACGGGUGAAGACAGUUAGAUUUCUGUUAUAAAGUUAGUUUGCAAUUUUUCUGAUUCUGUUAUGUACUGCUUUCUUUUAUGCAGGUUUUGUUAGAAGGUUGUUGAUAGUUGGAAGUUAUGAAGGGUGUUAUGAAUGAGUUGAAGGAUUCAUGAUGAUGAAUGAUGAAGAGUGAAGUUCUAUCCUCCCAAAAAAAUUGUUUGCAACAUGACAAUGGCUUGAGGUUCACGACCAAUACAAAUAGAAUAUGUUGGUUAGUGGUAUGGAUUUCGGGAUGUCCCUCAGAAGCUGCAUAAUCAGCGUGCUGUCUUUGUAAGAUUCCUCAUUGAGAGAAUCCAAAUCAACAAUGGCUACAUCAAAUGCUUGCUUGGCAC